Oncorhynchus tshawytscha (Chinook salmon) is the source of this 1062-nucleotide long non-coding RNA. RefSeq lists it as uncharacterized. Lineage: Eukaryota; Metazoa; Chordata; Actinopteri; Salmoniformes; Salmonidae. The record is from RefSeq and is a predicted model, not a curated record. The transcript is spliced from 3 exons.
UUUCGUCCGACUACUCGGCAAAAUCCUAGUAUAUGCCACUGUACUCAAAAUUUGACCUUUUCUACACUGAUAUAUUGAGAAGAUUGAAAUACUGCUAGUUUUACAGAAAACUGCCCUAGCAGUAGCCACCACAGCCAUUUAGAAUGGCAGUGUCAGCCAAUCAGCUCCUUUGUUGUUCAACUCUACGUGCCAUUCUGGUAGCUAUCAUGAGGACGAAAAGGGAAGGUAUUUGGAGUACAGUGGCAUAUCCCAUCCCUGCAUUGUGCUGUAUACUUUUUCACUUUCCUCUGGGCAUCAAAAAACAUAGGCUGAUUGUCUUUCAAUAGUCAUCUUCCAAAGAAAUUCACACACCAUUAUGGUUCGACCAAAGACCAGAUGGACAGUGGGGUAUGCCAAUAUCUUUUUCAUUUGACAUUUCUAACAUAUUAUGCUAUAUCCUGUCUAAUAUAUUUUUUCUUCUUUUUUUCCCAGUGGAUUUUAAGUGUCUGUUUGGGUAUAGUGUCUGUUUGGGUAUAGUUGUAAUCUUGGCCAACUUUUUUUUUAAAGAAAAUUAUUUCAGAGAAAUAUGCUUAGCUUUUUGGCUGCAUAUCUGUUCCAACAGUGACUCAAUGAUAACCUCACAACUGUGGAAGUGGGGCCAAUUCUAAACAUGUUUCCACCAGAUAUACAUUUUCUGAUGUGAUAUCCUUCAAAAAUAGUAAAAGAGCAUAGAGGACUUGCCACUUGCUUUGUGUCAUUUCUCCCUACUUACGACAACACACAAAUGAUCAAAUUCAAAAGACCUGUAACCACAGUUACUGCCAGCUGGCUACUGAAGCUAGAGUUGUUCUUGCAGUAAAUGUUUUCUAUCCAAUCAGGCAGUGAGCAUUCACACCAAUUAUUAUUUAAAGUUAAUUCACAGUCAAUUCUGGAGUUCACUGUACUUGACAGCAGCAGACUAGUGACCAGAACUGAUAACUGUAAAUUUUGGUGUUCCUCAAGGUUCCGUUUUAGGACCACUAUUGUUUUCACUAUAUAUUUUACCUCUUGGGGAUGUUAUUUGAAAACAUAAUGUUAACUUUC